UACGGAGGGGGCAAGCGUUGUUCGGAAUUACUGGGCGUAAAGCGCACGUAGGCGGUUUUGUAAGUCUGGGGUCAAAGGCGACAGCUCAACUGCAGUAAGGCCUUUGAUACUAUCGUGCUAGAGUGUCAGAGAGGAUGGCGGAAUUCCCGGUGUAGCGGUGAAAUGCGUAGAUAUCGGGAGGAACGCCGGUGGCGAAGGCGGCUUCCUGGCCCGUUACUGACGCUGAGGCACGAAAGCCAGGGGAGCAAACCGG
Molecule: ribosomal RNA, 253 nt
Filed under: uncultured microorganism
Description: partial 16S ribosomal RNA
Rfam family: Bacterial small subunit ribosomal RNA
Source: RNAcentral